GACGAACGCUGGCGGCGUGCCUAAUACAUGCAAGUUGAGCGCUGAAGGUGGGUACUUGUACCAACUGGAUGAGCAGCGAACGGGUGAGUAACGCGUGGGGAAUCUGCCUUUGAGCGGGGGACAACAAUUGGAAACGAAUGCUAAUACCGCAUAAAAACUUUAAACACAAGUUUUAAGGUUGAAAGAUGCAAUUGCAUCACUCAAAGAUGAUCCCGCGUUGUAUUAGCUAGUUGGUGAGGUAAAGGCUCACCAAGGCGAUGAUACAUAGCCGACCUGAGAGGGUGGUCGGCCACCUUGGGACUGAGACCCGGCCCAAACUCCUUCGGGAGGCAGCAGUAGGGCAUCUUCGGCCAUGGACGGAAGUCUGACCGAGCAACGCCGCGUGAGUGAAGAACGUUUUCGGAUCGUAAAACUCUGUUGGUAGGGAAGAACGUUGGUGAGAGUGGAAAGCUCAUCAAGUGACGGUAACUACCCAGAAAGCGACGGCUAACUACGUG
This 497-nucleotide ribosomal RNA is filed under the name uncultured bacterium. Its description in RNAcentral is "partial 16S ribosomal RNA". It matches the Rfam family "Bacterial small subunit ribosomal RNA", at positions 28 to 507 of the family's 1533-position model. The record is from RNAcentral.